Long non-coding RNA from Cervus elaphus (red deer), 904 nucleotides. RefSeq lists it as uncharacterized. The record is from RefSeq and is a predicted model, not a curated record. Lineage: Eukaryota; Metazoa; Chordata; Mammalia; Artiodactyla; Cervidae. The transcript has 3 exons.
GUACGAGGUGCACCUCCGGUCGCGCGGCCCCUACCUUCUCGCGCGCUGCCUGGGCUGUGGUGGGACGCCAGAGCCCGAACCUGGAGCGGUCAGAGAAGCUGGCGUGUUCAGGCGCCGGGCCUGAGGGAGUCCGAGAAGCAGCACUUAGGAAGAUAACAGAAGACAAUCAUGAUUACAGAAGAGAAUGCAAGUGCUGUCAACCUUAAGGAUGUGAGAGUGUGAUGCAGCAGUUUGGAGGGGAAAGGAGAAGUACAAAGAAGGGAAUGGAUGCCAGUAUCUUCAUCCUGCAAAAUAUCAGAGACAAGAGGGAAAUCUCUCUAACAGCUCCUGUGCUGUGCAUCUUCCAGGCCAUUGCUACACAGCAUUUAAGAGCCUACAACACCUGUGGUCAUCUACCUGUGGGAUUAUUUUUAAAUGGCUGCUUCUCCCACUGGACUUAAGCUUCAUGAGAAUAAGAUGUGUGUCAAUUUUGCUCACCUCACAUCUCUUCCUUAUGUCUCCAGUGUGGAACUCAUUGUUAAUGCUUUAAAAAGAUGUAUGGGAUGAAUAAAUCAGUAAGUACCUGUAUGAGAUUAUCACUUGACAUCAACCAACUUCCUGUGGUUUUGUUUCCAUGCUCGCCAAUCCAUAGUCUAAUUGCGUGUCUCCAAAUUCUUUCUGAAAGGAAGAAGAGGGUGGCCUGGGAUGGCAAGUCAGAAUUACCAAAAAUGCCUACAAGAGCAUCUCCUUUGCAGUGUGUCCUUAUGCAGAGCGACUUUGUCACCCUCCCAUCAAGAGAUGAGUUUAAUUCCCUCCCCUUGAAUCUAGGUUAGGCUUAGUGACUCACCUGAACGAGCACAUGUGACUUCCAAAGAAGGUCAGAAAAGGCUUGCAGCUUUCACUGCUUUCUCUCAGCUCACUCACU